RNAcentral lists this ribosomal RNA (253 nucleotides) under uncultured bacterium. RNAcentral's name for it is "partial 16S ribosomal RNA". It matches the Rfam family "Bacterial small subunit ribosomal RNA", at positions 524 to 776 of the family's 1533-position model. The record is from RNAcentral.
UACGAAGGGGGCUAGCGUUGCUCGGAAUCACUGGGCGUAAAGCGCACGUAGGCGGCUUUCUAAGUCAGGGGUGAAAUCCUGGAGCUCAACUCCAGAACUGCCUUUGAUACUGGCGAUCUCGAGUUCGGGAGAGGUGAGUGGAACUGCGAGUGUAGAGGUGAAAUUCGUAGAUAUUCGCAAGAACACCAGUGGCGAAGGCGGCUCACUGGCCCGAUACUGACGCUGAGGUGCGAAAGCGUGGGGAGCAAACAGG